CCCUUAGACGUUCUGGGCCGCACGCGCGCUACACUGACCAGUGCAACAAGCAUCCGUCCUUGGCCGACAGGCCCGGGCAAUCUUUGAACGCUGGUCGUGUUGGGGAUAGACUUUUGCAAUUUUUGGUCUUCAACGAGGAAUUCCUAGUAAACGCAAGUCAUCAACUUGCAUUGAUUACGUCCCUGCCCUUUGUACACACCGCCCGUCGCACCUACCGAUUGAAUGGUCCGGUGAAGCCUCCGGAUUGGCGCGCACCUCGGUGCCGCCGAGAAGUUGGCUAAACCUUACCAUUUAGAGGAAGGUGAAGUCGUAACA
Molecule: ribosomal RNA, 315 nt
Filed under: uncultured eukaryote
Lineage: Eukaryota
Description: partial 18S ribosomal RNA
Rfam family: Eukaryotic small subunit ribosomal RNA
Source: RNAcentral